UACGUAGGGAGCAAGCGUUGUCCGGAAUCAUUGGGCGUAAAGCGCGCGUAGGUGGCCCUGUAAGUCCGUUGUGAAAGUCAAAGGCUCAACCUUUGAAAGCCGAUGGAUACUGCAGGACUAGAGUACGGAAGAGGCGAGUGGAAUUCCUGGUGUAGCGGUGGAAUGCGCAGAUAUCAGGAGGAACACCAAUAGCGAAGGCAGCCUCGCUGGGACGUUACUGACACUGAGGCGCGAAAGCGUGGGGAGCGAACAGG
This 254-nucleotide ribosomal RNA is filed under the name uncultured bacterium. RNAcentral's name for it is "partial 16S ribosomal RNA". It matches the Rfam family "Bacterial small subunit ribosomal RNA", at positions 524 to 776 of the family's 1533-position model. The record is from RNAcentral.